This is a long non-coding RNA of Apis mellifera (honey bee), 5945 nucleotides long. RefSeq lists it as uncharacterized. The record is from RefSeq and is a predicted model, not a curated record. The transcript is spliced from 8 exons. NCBI's taxonomy places the organism in Eukaryota, Metazoa, Arthropoda, Insecta, Hymenoptera, Apidae.
AAAAUAGAGUCAAGAAAAAAGAAAGGACCUUAGCUUGUCGUUUAGAUUCGUAUCACAAAUUGAUAACUUCCUUUUUCUCUUUGCGGAAAGGAAUACAUGAAAAAUUACGCGAUAACAACUUUUACGCUCAUUUUAAGUUUUCACCGCGAGGAAUUAUUACACUGAACUUUCCCUUUCGCAAAAUACGGCAAAAACACGCGAUCGAGCACGCUCCAAACCCAAUCCAUUCCGAACGAUACUUACUUUUCGUUUCUCCUUCAACUGUUGGAUCCGACACUCUACUCGAGAAAUCGUAUCGAUCCGUUCCUACACGUAUAGCAAGGCUGGGGAACUGGAUUAACAUCAAUCGCGUUACGGAUUUCUCCGCUCGUUUUUCUCCGCUUCGAUCCGUCGAGAGCAUCGCGGACGUUCAUCAAUCACGUUUCCCAACGAGGUUUACAACCGUGCUCUUACAUACAGGAAGCGAUACACCGAACACUUGGAAAUCGUGCAACGCUUCUCAACAGGUUUUCGAGACCAGAUAAAGCGAAACGAUCGGUUGAUUACGAGCGGCGGCAAUUAGUUCGCGCCGGCCGAUCUUCGUUUCUUCGAUCCGCGCCUUGCGAAACGUUCGUCACCCUUUCACUCGACGAGAAAUUACGAGAAUCGUGUCCCAUCGAUUUAUUAAUUUCUCCGUUCUUUAAUAACACGCUUAUCCAGAGAAUAACUUGUGUAAUUCCAUUCUUGUGUAAUUUUGUAACCAGCUUGUAAAAUAACCCUUUAAAAAAAAAUUUGAAAAGAACGUUACAAUUCGUAAAGAAGAAGUGCGCAAGUUCUUUCGUUCGAGGCGCAAAAUCGGUUGGUCUCGGUCCGGUCUCGAAGCCUACGUAGCGUGGGGGUAUCUCUAUCAGAAUGUGUUUUACAUUAAUACUUUAGUGUUUUAGUGGCGAUUGCCGGCCGUUAAUGCCACUCCGGCUUGAGUGGCCUGGCUCCCGGCUUUACAAAUUUAUACACUCUGCCGGUCGCUCGUCCUCUCCGAUAUGAUAUCUACGUUCAGAGGCAAGAGUGGCCAGGAGAGGCGAGGCCACUCGACCGGGCCGAGAGUGAGAGAGAGAGAGACGCGGCUGACCUUAUUCCAGGUUCCGCGGCGACCUCGAUGUCCACCUGACCGAUCCACCUUCUUCGCCUCGCGGAAACUUCCUCGUGAUCGAUGCGAGUCGAUAAGUCGGGACGCGACCCGAUCGAGCGAGCGUUGCGCAACACCGACGCGGCCACCUCCCCCCUCCUCCUUAAGUGUGUUUCUUCGUUCACCUGACGCGCCAUUAAUAACGUGGACGUUUGCUCCCGGAGAUAUGUACGAGCCUCCUCGUACGGAGGCCUUUCUUCUUUUGGGGGGGGGGAGAGGGGUCAGGUGACACUUUUGCAUGCCAAACGCGCAUGCUUCGCGCAACCGAAGAUAGAUUAAAGAUGGUGGACGUAAUUUCGUUGUGACGAAAUGGAUUUUUGGUGAUUUCAGGUGUAUCGAAGCAAAACUUGUGUCUUCCUUGCUGUGCAAAGGUUUCUAUGAAUCGAAGAGGAGGAAUCCGGUAAGAAAUCCGGUUCAGAGAGAGAAAAUCGUGGCGAGGGAUUUCGCGGUGGUCCCCGCGAUUUCUUUCGGCAAUUUAUUAGCCAUUAUCUGAGACAAUGCGCGGCUACCUGUGCGCCAAAGGGCGCAUACGGUUUGCAACGAGGGAGAGAGGGUUGGCGAGGGUUCAAAGAAGAAAGCGCGUGGAAAGAAGCGAGAGAAAGCCGGUGGAGAGGAGAGGAGAAGAGGACGCGUAAAAGCGGCGAGGAAAGGGGCCUGAUACCGAGAUAUCGUUCAUUCUUGCCCUUCGAAACAUCCUAUCUCUCUUCAGUUUCAUGCUAAACGGUUGCACGGAUCGGUUGGAAAAUACAAGGAAAAUGCUCGUAGACGUAUCGGUCGGUGGUAAAGCAAAAGAACGGACAAAUUGUCGGGCGUAUAUUACACGCUUCUCAGAGCUACGUCACCGUGAAAUAUCACAUUUUGCCACGAGACCUCCACGUUUACGAGGGAUCGAAGUGGCGCGCGAACGAGACGUCCCUUCGGCCGGAUGAAGAGGGAUCGCCAGGACGGUGCCAUCCUUGACCAUUUUCGAAUAAUUAACGUCGGUUUUCGUGAAACUUUCGGCUUUCUACCUGAACCUCCUACCCUCCCCCCCGGGCUUAGCCAUCGAGAAAUCGUUUCUCCCCAAAUCCACAAAUUUGGACCAUACUUUUUCAAGCAAGGAAACAAACAAGGAACAAGUUUGAAAAACUCGUUUCGAGUUAAUUACGAGAUACAAGUAGCAGAUUUUUAUAUACAAUUUUCAAAUAGAUACGCACGAGGAAAAUUUUCGUGACGGAUGAUCAUUUUUAUUAUUUAAAUCCUCAUCGACCCGACGAAAAAAAAUUCGCGACGAGGAGGAGGAGAGACUCGAGAUUCAAUACCAAGAUAAGGAUUGAAAAGAGGCAGCAACCAUCUUAUUAAUUCAAACGCCGUGGACGACAGGCAAGUCUUCAACAUCCAUUAUAUCCACGGACCUUUUACCCAAGCUGGUUCUCACGCGACACCUACGUUUUCCAUCGAGCUGCUUGAUUUAGGAUUUCCUGCGGCGGCCAAGCCGGGUUACGAACAAUUCGUGGCAUUCGAGAGGGGUGUCGAGCCGCGAUUCACGUUCCAAGGAUGUCUCCACGACACCUGGGAGCCCCAUCCGCCGGGAAACGUUGGACGCCGGCUCGCCGGCCACCGAUUUGUCACCAUCGAUUCGCUAGAAAGGGGCCAUUCGCCAUUAUUUUAGAAUAAUCUAAAACCGAUGGUGAUUAGUGGAGGAAGCGUCACCUGCGCGAUCAGCUUCUCGUUUGCGGCGUGUGACCGCAGACUGACCCUUCCUGAUUCCCAGAGAAGGCCAUCAUCCAUCAUCAUCGGCUGUGAAUGGCCGCUCUUUCGUCAGACUGCUCGAUUUUGUCGCUGGCUAUACAAUAAGUAGAAAUACGUAUCAUAUUGUGUGACGUAUAGAUUUUUUAAAUUUAUGAAAUAUCAAUUAUCUUAUUCAAAUUCAUAAAUAACGUUUCGUGGUAUGAUAAAUUUCUUCCUCUCCUCCUUUUUAAUUAUCAUUAUUAUUAUCCUGCAUUUUUUUCAGGUUUCAAAAUUUCACGGUGGAAAGAGAGAUAAGCUGUAUGUAUCUAAUUUUUAUGAAUCACGCAUAUCUAUAUCUGCAAUCGUACUUAUAAAUCAUAAGGGAUUCCACGUUUAUAAAUUAAAUCCUGUUAUCCUCAAUAAGAUCUUGCUACAACAAAGUAAAAUGUAUGAUGUGUAUUCCAUUGGAUUUUGAUGGGGAAGAAUAAUUGCAACGAUGAUUCCAUCUUCAUAAGAGAUUCCUUAUUCCUUGGAUCGAUUCCUCCUGCGAAAAAGGAGCAACGAAAGCCAUCCAUUGACCGGCAUCCACUUCAGAGAAACAAAGCAGAAGAAGUGGAGGAACGGAACCAGGAGCCAGAUACGAUCAAUUACUAUAAAACUGUCCGACCGUUCCUACCGAAAACCGCGCAUACCUCGUCCAGGUGUGACCGCGACAUCCUUGGAACGCCCGCUUUUUCUCUUCUCCUCUAAGAAGCUCACCGAAGAGGAUUCGAGCGUUUUUCAGCGCGCCCGGUUGUAAAAAAAAAGGAUAGAUAUCCAGAAUUUUCGGUGGGUAUUAAUCCCUUCCUCGUUACGCCGUCCUAUGCGUCGCAUAGUUUCUUCCCUCCUUUGGUGGUGCCGCGAUCAUCAAUGGGAAGUUCCGCGCGUGAAUGAACCAACCGAAGAGCAGGAAAUACCGCUCUCACGGUAGCAGGGAUUCGAGAUUUUGUUCUUAUACAUUGAGCUAUAAAAGUAUAAAGGAUUAUAGAAUUAUGGAAACGUUUAAUGUUUGCUAUUUUGCAAUUAAAAAUUCUACUGUGAAGGAAAAGAGCUGCAGUUUUUCAAGCACAUAUUUAGAAACAUCUUCAUCUCCAGAUCAUUGAUAUAAAGGAUUAUAGAAUUAUGGAAACGUUUAAUGUUUGGAUUUUGUGAACGUAUUUUGCAAUUAAAAAUUCUACUGUGAAGGAAAGGAAUUGCAAUUUUUCAAGCACAUAGAAAUAUCUUCAUCUCCAGAUCAUUAAUAGUAUAAAGGAUUAUAGAAUUAUGGAAACGUUUAAUGUUUGGAUUUUAUAUUGAACAAAUUUUAUAUUGAUGGAUGAGUAAUUAUUUGGAUGUUAUAAUUGUCUCUCUUUUUUUUUACAGGUGAACGUAUUUUGCAAUUAAAAAUUCUACUGUGAAGUCCAGUUUUUCAAGCACAUAUUUAGAAACAUCUUGAUCUUCAGAUCAUUGAUAGUAUAAAGAAUUAUAGAAUUAUGGAAAUGUUUAAUGUUUGGAUUUGUAUUGAACAAAUUUUAUAUUAAUAAAUGAGUGAUUAUUUGAAUGUUAUAAUUGUCUCUCUUUUUUUUUAGGUGAACGUAUUUUGCAAUUAAAAAUUCUACUGUAAAGAAAAGGAGCUGCAGUUUUUCAAGCACAUAUUUAGAAACAUCUUCAUCUCCAGAUCAUUGAUAGUAUAAAGGAUUAUAGAAUUAUGGAAAUGUUUAAUGUUUGGAUUUGUAUUGAACAAAUUUUAUAUUAAUAAAUGAGUGAUUAUUUGGAUGUUAUAAUUGUCUCUCUUUUUUUUUACAGGUGAACGUAUUUUGCAAUUAAAAAUUCUACUGUGAAAGAAAGGAACAGUUUUUCAAGCAUAUAUUUAGAAACAUCUUCAUCUCCAGAUCAUUGAUAUACUCUGGUUUCAAUCUUGCGACAAUUAUCUUUUAUAUUUUAUACAAAUAUUGUUUCCUAGAAGCUUAAAUGCUGUAUAUUAUUAUAUUAUAUUAUUUAUCCGUUGUUGUAUCCGUUUGUAUCGACAAUUGGAAAAAAUUUUCCCGCGCCUCUAAAUCAUUGCAUAGUAAUACGGGUUCGCGGAACGGGCUCGAAGCGUAAAACACGAGGGCGUAGCUUCUCCUUCUCCUUCUUCUGUGCACGGCCGAGGGGAAGCGUUCCGUUAAUUUGAUGUAAUUUAGGAGCGCAGUAAUUAUAUUUAAUGGUGGUAUCGUUUGAUCUUGAAAAGUCUCGAACAAACGCACACCGGUGCCCCGGCACGAGAGGAAUAUUAAUCUUAGUCGUAAAUUUUGAUAUGCCGCGGAAAGCCGGCUCCGCCGUGCCUCGCCUCGCGAGGUUUAUUGUCCCGCGACAUGCACGUAACAUCGCACCUGAAAUCCUUAUCGACUAACGGGCCGUCGUACGUAACAGGACUAUGUAACGCACCGUACCUCUUUCGCGGGAUUGUAAGUGUAAGAGUUAACUGUCGCGAGAAAGUAUCGUGGAAUACGUGGAACCAAGAGAGACAGAGAUAUUUCUAUAUAUAGAAAGAAAAAAGAAAAAUGAUCGUUUUUGAGCAUCUCAAAAAUUAAAGAAAUUGAUGGAGGAUAAUUCUAUGAUUAGGCUCCAUUUUACUUUAUUUAAGAAGAGAAACAAGAAAAUCUUUUUUCUAAUAAUUUAAAAUUGGUUCUCCUCUCAUUAUUAUUUGUUAUAUAUAUUUUAAAAAAAUAACGAGGAAGAAAAAACAUUCAUCAUCUAUUCCAUUCCCACGUUCAACAAGAAAAAAAAAAGGGAGGAACCAGUUAUUCAGAUGGUCAAACUGUUAACAACGCCCCGCUAGAGAGGAAGCGGAGGACGAUCGACGUGUCGUGUAAUUUCGGUUAACGAGCAGGAUCAGGCUGGCGGAGGCGGUAAGCUUGGAGAAAGAGGGGAGCCCUUCUGCUAAUCCCGGACAAUCCGUGACCGAGUGAUUAUCUAUGUCGUUGCCCGGACCAGGCUCCUUUGUUUUUCCUAUUGUUUUCCCUGUUUCAUUUUCAGAAAUUUUCCUUCAUGUCCAAAAAAAAAAAAAAAA